This 1564-nucleotide ribosomal RNA is filed under the name Aphelenchoides fujianensis. RNAcentral describes it as "SSU rRNA". It matches the Rfam family "Eukaryotic small subunit ribosomal RNA", at positions 121 to 1728 of the family's 1831-position model. Lineage: Eukaryota; Metazoa; Nematoda; Chromadorea; Rhabditida; Aphelenchoididae. The record is from RNAcentral.
UUGUUCUUUUCAAUCUAAACGGAUAACUGCGGUAAUUCUGGAGCCAAUACGUGACUAAAAGCAGUGGCCUUCGGGUCGCUGUGCUAUUAUUGGAGCAAAACUAUUCGUUAGUCCUUUUGCUAACUCUGGAUAAUACUGCGUAUCGCAUGACCUCGUGUCGGCGAAGUUUCAUUCGAGUAUCUGCCCUAUCAACUUGCUGGCAGUGUAUUGGACUGCCAUGGUUCUAACGGGUAACGGAGGAUCAGGGUCUGACUCCGGAGAGGGAGCCUUAGAAACGGCUACCAUGUCUAAGGAUAGCAGCAGGCGCGAAAAUUACCCAAUAUCAAUACGAUGAGGUAGUGACGAGAAAUAACGAGUCCGUUCUCUCUGAGGUCGGACAUUGGAAUGGGUACAAUCUAGACAAUUUAACGAGUAUCUACGAGAGGGCAAGUCUGGUGCCAGCAGCCGCGGUAAUUCCAGCUCUCGUAAUACAUAGAAUUAUUGUUGCGGUUAAAAAGUUCGUAGUUGAUCAGCGAACCGUUCGGGGUGCAUCCUAACGGGUGUCACUCGUCGGACGGUAUUUUGCGCGUUUGUGUGCGGUCGCCCUCGNGGUGGCUCGUAUGCUGCGUGCAGGAUUACUUUGAACGGCUUAAGUGCUCAAGGCGGGUCUUAGGACCGAAUACCGGUGCAUGGAAUAAUGGAACAAGGUUGCGGCCGAGUUUUAUUGGUUUUGUCGGCUGAAACAAUGGUUAACAGGAACAGCCGGGGGCAUUCGUAUCGCUGCGCGAGAGGUGAAAUUCGGGGACCGUAGCGAGACGCACUAAGCGAAGGCAUUUGCCAAGAGUGUUUUCAUUAAUCAAGAACGAAAGUGAGAGGUUCGAAGGCGAUUAGAUACCGCCCUAGUUCUCACCGUAAAUGAUGCCAACUGCCAAUCCGCUGGUGGAUUUAAUUCACGAGCGGGCGGGUUUCCGGAAACGAAAGUCUUUCGGUUCCGGGGAAGUAUGGUUGCAAAGCUGAAACUUAAAGGAAUUGACGGAAGGGCACCACCAGGAGUGGAGCUUGCGGCUUAAUUUGACUCAACACGGGAAACCUCACCCGGCCAGCACAUCGUAAGGAUUGACAGACCGAUAGCUCUUUCAUGAUUCGUUGGAUGGUGGUGCAUGGCCGUUCUUAGUUCGUGCUAAUUGAAGUGUCUGCUUUAUUGCGAUAACGAGCGAGACGCCAACUGUUAACUAGUGCGUUGAUUGGUUCGCUUGUCAACGAUCGACUUCUUAACGGGAUUUGUGGUUACUAGCCUCAAGAAAUGGCGCAAUAACAGGUCUGUGAUGCCCUUAGAUGUUCGGGGCCGCACGCGUGCUACAAUGGUGGUAUCAGCGUGCUUGUCCUACUCCGAAAGGAGAUGGCAAACAGUUGAGAUAUUAUUAUGGCUGGAAUUGAGUGUUGAAAUUUUCACUCAUGAACGAGGAAUUCCAAGUAAAUGCGAGUCAUCAACUCGCAUUGAUUACGUCCCUGCCCUUUGUACACACCGCCCGUCGCUCCCCGGGACUGAGUUGUUUCGAGAAAGCCACGGACCGGUGUCGCUCGU